This 253-nucleotide ribosomal RNA is filed under the name uncultured bacterium. Its description in RNAcentral is "partial 16S ribosomal RNA". It matches the Rfam family "Bacterial small subunit ribosomal RNA", at positions 524 to 776 of the family's 1533-position model. The record is from RNAcentral.
UACGUAGGGUGCGAGCGUUAAUCGGAAUUACUGGGCGUAAAGCGUGCGCAGGCGGUUGUGCAAGGCAGAUGUGAAAUCCCCGGGCUCAACCUGGGAACUGCAUCUGUGACUGCAUAGCUAGAGUACGGUAGAGGGGGAUGGAAUUCCGCGUGUAGCAGUGAAAUGCGUAGAUAUGCGGAGGAACACCGAUGGCGAAGGCAAUCCCCUGGACCUGUACUGACGCUCAUGCACGAAAGCGUGGGGAGCAAACAGG